Molecule: unclassified non-coding RNA, 1619 nt
Filed under: Hevea brasiliensis (rubber tree)
Lineage: Eukaryota; Viridiplantae; Streptophyta; Magnoliopsida; Malpighiales; Euphorbiaceae
Source: RNAcentral
ACACUACCUCAUUUUAGAGCUGGCAUUGUUAGCUUGGCUAGCGUCUCUUUAUUGAAAGUGAUUGAAUUGGAAUCCUACGGAUAAUUAAAAAUUCUAAAAAAAUGAAUAACAUUAUUAGACAAGAAAGAAGAUAAAAAGGAGUAGGAAAGCUAAGACUUUUGCUGCUUGCAAGGUUUUUGGCACAUUUUCAGAGGUGAGAGAGAAGGCAUAAGCAAUGAAGUUCUUGUUCCAGUGUCCUUGCUGCUCAUGUUUCUGCUUCAUGAAGCCCAAGCAGGGAAAACCAAAGGCAAAAGAAGCCAAGGUGGAGGGUUCCAAGGAAGAAAAAAAGGAAUGAUACUAUGCUUAAGUAAAUUGUAUGUAACAUUUUUCUUUCUAGUCAAUAUGAAAUGCUUUCACCUUUAAUUGCAAUGUAUGGAAAUCCAAAUUUGGCAAAUUCUAUGUGAUAUCAUGUCUAUUUUCUGCUUGUUUUGCUUGGUUGCAUUGCAUAUCAGUUUGUCUUAUGACAGUAUUGGAAAAUGUCCAUCUACACGUUUCCAUAAAAGGAGUCUUUAUGGUUGGAAGCAUUCUACAGCAUUUGGUUUAGCAAGAGGUAAACUUAAAAUCUAUUAAACUCCUUUCUAUGUGCUUCUGAUUUAGUAUUUAGUUGCUUAGCCUGACUUGAUUCAGAGGCUAAAAUCAUAUUACUCACUUAAUAGACUUAGGUUCGAAUCCCCCAUCCCCUGAUUUCACUACUAAAAAAGAAUAAGUAUUUAGCCUAGAUAUUCUGAUUUCCUCAAAUUUCCCCACAAUGUUCCUAAUCUGGUUAGCUGCAAAAUCUAUGAUACAUAAGCAACUCCAUGCUUGCUGCCUAACCAUAUGCCAGCUGGAGAUGGAGUUAGAUGCUUGUUCGAGCUCAAAAUUCAAAUUCUUUGGAUUUUGUGGGAGCAGAGAAAAACAAGUUCUUAAAGUGAAAUAAAAACGCAUUAAUUAUGUUUAGUAAGAUGUUUAUUACGAUGAUGCUUAAUCUCAAUCAUAAAAGAUACGCUAACGUGAUGAUACUCUCUCUUUAGGAAAUGUCAAUAUCAAUAUCAAUAUCAAAUAUGGUAGGAUUAGCAUUGAGAUUAGCAUUGAAAGGCAUUUAAAAUUAGUUCUUCAAAUUGAUGUGAGGCCGGGAAGGUAUUCUUUGUAAAACAGAACGUCUGAAAGAAUAAAGUAAAAGAUGCAUGAAUAAGCUUUUAGACCAAAUGAGAUUGUCUCAAUUGAUCCAUUUGCAGGUACUUAAUAAGAGGGCAGCAACUUGGCAGAGUAAACUUGGGUUAACCAUUUUAGGUUAAGUGGUUUGGAUUUAAAAUUAUUUGGAUAAAUUCAACAUCAAUGUUAUAAUUGGUAUUGGAGCCUCCAAUACCAUUAUAUUUCUUAUCCGUUCUUAACCUAUAGAUAUAAAUGCAACUUGAGAAAUUAACAGAAUUUCCCCUAAAAUUAUUACCAAUUGAGCAAGAAAACCUGCUAGAAAUAAGAAUAUAAAUAACAUCUAACAUAAGGUGCUCAAGGGAAUGGUGGAUGCGAAAAAUGCCAGUAAAUUCAGCUUCAGAGUUUUUAACGUUGAGAAGAUGAAGCCAGCAUUUAAUUAGAGAUAUGAU